Molecule: ribosomal RNA, 497 nt
Filed under: uncultured bacterium
Lineage: Bacteria
Description: partial 16S ribosomal RNA
Rfam family: Bacterial small subunit ribosomal RNA
Source: RNAcentral
GAUGAACGCUGGCGGCGUGCCUAAUACAUGCAAGUCGAGCGAACGGACGAGAAGCUUGCUUCUCUGAUGUUAGCGGCGGACGGGUGAGUAACACGUGGAUAACCUACCUAUAAGACUGGGAUAACUUCGGGAAACCGUAGCUAAUACCGGAUAAUAUUUUGAACCGCAUGGUUCAAAAGUGAAAGACGCUCUUGCUGUCACUUAUAGAUGGAUCCGCGCUGCAUUAUCUAGUUGGUAAGGUAACGGCUUACCAAGGCAACGAUGCAUAGCCGACCUGAGAGGGUGAUCGGCCACACUGGAACUGAGACACGGUCCAGACUCCUACGGGAGGCAGCAGUAGGGAAUCUUCCGCAAUGGGCGAAAGCCUGACGGAGCAACGCCGCGUGAGUGAUGAAGGUCUUCGGAUCGUAAAACUCUGUUAUUAGGGAAGAACAUAUGUGUAAGUAACUGUGCACAUCUUGACGGUACCUAAUCAGAAAGCCACGGCUAACUACGUG